CCUACGGGUGGCAGCAGUGGGGAAUAUUGGACAAUGGGCGAAAGCCUGAUCCAGCCAUGCCGCGUGUGUGAAGAAGGCCUUCGGGUUGUAAAGCACUUUCAGUGGGGAAGAAAGCCUUGGGGCUAAUACCCUCGAGGAAGGACAUCACCCACAGAAGAAGCACCGGCUAACUCCGUGCCAGCAGCCGCGGUAAUACGGAGGGUGCGAGCGUUAAUCGGAAUUACUGGGCGUAAAGCGCGCGUAGGCGGUCUGAUAAGCCGGUUGUGAAAGCCCCGGGCUCAACCUGGGAACGGCAUCCGGAACUGUCAGGCUAGAGUGCAGGAGAGGAAGGUAGAAUUCCCGGUGUAGCGGUGAAAUGCGUAGAGAUCGGGAGGAAUACCAGUGGCGAAGGCGGCCUUCUGGACUGACACUGACGCUGAGGUGCGAAAGCGUGGGUAGCAAACAGGAUUAGAUUCCCUGGUAGUC
This 465-nucleotide ribosomal RNA is filed under the name Vreelandella stevensii. RNAcentral's name for it is "partial 16S ribosomal RNA". It matches the Rfam family "Bacterial small subunit ribosomal RNA", at positions 338 to 795 of the family's 1533-position model. The record is from RNAcentral. Lineage: Bacteria; Pseudomonadati; Pseudomonadota; Gammaproteobacteria; Oceanospirillales; Halomonadaceae.